This 497-nucleotide ribosomal RNA is filed under the name uncultured bacterium. RNAcentral describes it as "partial 16S ribosomal RNA". It matches the Rfam family "Bacterial small subunit ribosomal RNA", at positions 28 to 507 of the family's 1533-position model. The record is from RNAcentral.
GAUGAACGCUGGCGGCGUGCCUAAUACAUGCAAGUCGAGCGAACAGACGAGGAGCUUGCUCCUCUGACGUUAGCGGCGGACGGGUGAGUAACACGUGGAUAACCUACCUAUAAGACUGGGAUAACUUCGGGAAACCGGAGCUAAUACCGGAUAAUAUAUUGAACCGCAUGGUUCAAUAGUGAAAGACGGUUUUGCUGUCACUUAUAGAUGGAUCCGCGCCGCAUUAGCUAGUUGGUAAGGUAACGGCUUACCAAGGCAACGAUGCGUAGCCGACCUGAGAGAGUGAUCGGCCACACUGGAACUGAGACACGGUCCAGACUCCUACGGGAGGCAGCAGUAGGGAAUCUUCCGCAAUGGGCGAGAGCCUGACGGAGCAACGCCGCGUGAGUGAUGAAAGUCUUCAGAUCGUAAAACUCUGUUAUUAGUGAAAAACAAAUGUGUAAGUAACUGUGCACGUCUUGACGGUACCUAAUCAGAAAGCCACGGCUAACUACGUG